Molecule: transfer RNA, 71 nt
Filed under: Caudoviricetes sp.
Lineage: Duplodnaviria; Heunggongvirae; Uroviricota; Caudoviricetes
Description: tRNA-Glu
Rfam family: tRNA
About the family: Transfer RNA (tRNA) molecules are approximately 80 nucleotides in length. Their secondary structure includes four short double-helical elements and three loops (D, anti-codon, and T loops).
Source: RNAcentral
GAUCGGUUAGUCAAGUGGUAAGACACCAUCCUUUCACGGUGGUAACGCGAGUUCGAAUCUCGUACCGAUCA